CUGUUUUCUUCGUAAAUCCAUCCGCUCUCUUUCGCUCUCUUUCGCUCUCUGUUUGAAGUACAUUACACUGUAAGUUUGUUCCCUGAAAUUUUUGGAGGUUUUCUAUUCCUGAUUGCAGUCGAAACGGCAAUUCAUUAUGUGUUCGUUCUCUGAAGUUUCUGCGUAAAAUCUCUCAUUAUCGAGUCGCGCUCUUCACCUUUUGGAAUUUCAAACGGAAGUAGUGGAUCGAAACCUGCUACAACGGUUGAUUAUCGAUUUUUUUUUUUUGGCUAGGUAUACACUUUUCUCAUUUGAGGACUUUUCUCGCCUGAAUCUCAUUGUGGAAGUUUUUGAUUGAUAUCUUGUACUGAACAUGUGUAGGUUUUGUUCUUUAUUUUGAUGCAACAUUAUACGAUGUAAGUACCUAUGAGAUUAUGGAUCACAUCACAGUGCCAAAUAAAUUGAGUCGGGUUCUUAUGGAUCGUGUGUCGCCUCGUUCUCGCUUGAAUUACAACCUUGUCACUGCUUUAGUCCUAACAAGGUGAAUUUUCUGAUACCGUUAUCUUUAUAAAUAUUGCAACAUUUUGUUUUAAUUUAUGGAGUACGGUCCCGUUUAGAGCAAAA
This is a long non-coding RNA of Cucurbita maxima (winter squash), 603 nucleotides long. RefSeq lists it as uncharacterized. Lineage: Eukaryota; Viridiplantae; Streptophyta; Magnoliopsida; Cucurbitales; Cucurbitaceae. The transcript has 2 exons. The record is from RefSeq and is a predicted model, not a curated record.